CCUACGGGUGGCAGCAGUGAGGAAUAUUGGUCAAUGGGCGCGAGCCUGAACCAGCCAAGUCGCGUGAGGGAAGACGGUCCUAUGGAUUGUAAACCUCUUUUGUCGGGGAGCAAAAGACGCCACGCGUGGCGUUCCGAGAGUACCCGAAGAAUAAGCACCGGCUAAUUCCGUGCCAGCAGCCGCGGUAAUACGGAGGAUGCGAGCGUUAUCCGGAUUUAUUGGGGUUAAAGGGUGCGCAGGCGGAAGAUCAAGCCAGCGGUAAAAUUGAGAGGCUCAACCUCUUCGAGCCGGUGAAACUGGUUUGCUUGAGUGAGCGAGAAGUAUGCGGAAUGCGUGGUGUAGCGGUGAAAUGCAUAGAUAUCACGCAGAACGCCGAUUGCGAAGGCAGCAUACCGGCGCUCAACUGACGCUCAUGCACGAAAGUGUGGGUAUCGAACAGGAUUAGAUACCCCUGUAGUC
This 459-nucleotide ribosomal RNA is filed under the name uncultured bacterium. RNAcentral's name for it is "partial 16S ribosomal RNA". It matches the Rfam family "Bacterial small subunit ribosomal RNA", at positions 338 to 795 of the family's 1533-position model. The record is from RNAcentral.